Long non-coding RNA from Dermochelys coriacea (leatherback sea turtle), 2111 nucleotides. RefSeq lists it as uncharacterized. The transcript has 5 exons. The record is from RefSeq and is a predicted model, not a curated record. Lineage: Eukaryota; Metazoa; Chordata; Testudines; Dermochelyidae.
CCCUGCUCAGGACUCCAGCAUACCAGGGCAUUUGAAAAACCCCAAACCAAUUGCAUCGACUGCUCUGAUGAAUUCAGCGUGGACCAAGCUCACCCCAGCUCAGAGCUUGUGGUAAAAAGCAGAGCCCAGUCCAGCCACUGUAAAAAGAGCUAAAUUGUUCGUAACUCUGAGGUUCUACUGCCUGAGUGAAGAUGGAUGCUGUGUUCAUCACCCCCUCAGGGAAGGAGGGAUUUGCCUGUGGAGAAGGCAUGAACUGAGAGAUCUGGGGUCUAAUGAAGCUUGGCCACAGACAUCUUGUACGACGUCAGGGGAGUCACUGUGCCUCUCUUUACAGUGGGGUUAUAAAGGUACUCGACUCACAGGGCUAUUGUGAGGCAUAUUUCAGUCAUGUUUGUGGAGUGUGUUGAGAUUUUAGAGACAUACGAGGCUAUGGAUCUAGUGCUCUAGUAUCAGUCCAUUGAGGAACUAAGAGCCUGCCACCUGCUGUACCCACAAAAAUGGCCAUGUCUACUUUACAGUCCUGUGCUCAAUUCCCCUUGGAGCAAUCCCACAUUUAGGAGGGCUUUGCUGUCUCUGGCAAACAUUUCCAUCAUCUUUGAAUCUAUGGUCUUGUGCGCUACCUGGGAUAAAAGCCAUUAAGACUCAUGCGUCAGGGCCUAAACUGAUCUCUAGCUGAGUUCAGGAGAUGACUUCCCCUAACCCUGGUCUCUGUGGGAUAGGCUGCCCAGUUAGAUGCAUUACACGGAGUUCCCUGCCUUCCUUGGUCAUCUAGUAUUGGCCACUGUCAUAGCCAGCAGGCAGGAUUAGGUGUUUAAUGAUACUUAGCAAUUCAAAUGCUUUAUGCUCACAAGGCACUGCCCCAAUGUUAAUUAAUGCUCACAACGUUCCUGGGAAUUAAAUAAAUUAACCCCAGUGCUCCAGAUUGAAGAAUACGAGGCAACAGUACCAAGGUUGCGCACUCAGUUAGUGGCAGAUUCUGGAAAUGGUGUUCAUUGAACUGCCCCAAUCUGCGGGGAACAAUCCCCCAAGUUAUAUUGUAACAAAGAACCCUAUUCCUAAUAAACAGCAUCAUCGUCAGUGAAAGUGACCUAGUAGCGGAUUGAAGUCAAUGGGAGUUACUGAAUGUUUUAUCAGACAGCUGCAGAAAUGGGCUUUAACUACAUCUUCGCAGACAAGAGGAAGUGUGACGCAGAACUUACUACUGCAAAUGCGAUGCUGGCUAGCGCAGCCAGGCAGAAACAGACCUUGGUGGAUUCUAUAAAUUUUCUGGUCUUGUCGACGUACAGUCCCAGAAGGAAGGCACCAAGUAACCCAAACACAGUGAACAAUGCACCAUUCAGGCCUGCAAAGAACUAUAGGGGAAUAGAAAUGAGUGUCUGAGCAACUAGUAUUAGGAGGACACGCAUCUAGAAUAGCAAGCAACUGGCCCAGGUGGUGACAAUCCCAAAAGGAGUCCGGAGGAAGUGCUCAGAUCCUGUAGAGAUGGGAGUGGAGUAAGACCAUACGUGGAUAAAAGCAGACUGGGAUCUGUUCCAGAAGAGUCGAAAAGCAGGUGAACAUCCCAAUCCCUGCUCCAAAACAGACCAUCAGGAUGAUGUAUGGUUUAUUUCUCAGAAGCUGCAAAGUUCAGAAUGUAGGUUUAAAAAAAUAGGUUCCAGUUACUUGGGCAACAAAUCUCAGCACCCGCCCACCUGCUGGCUUGCUCACAACAACAGGAUCGCUGAGGGUGACAAUGACACCAUGGAAGCCAGGCAGCAUGUACACUUGCUCCUGCCUCAGCAUAGAGGGCUGGACAUGGUGACCUCUCAAGGUCACAUCCUGCCCUACAGUUCUAGAAUGCUAUGUUUGAUUCCGGGGUUUACUUCUCUGCACCGCAUGACGCUUACCAUUUUCAAGCCUGUGAGAAAUGGCUGCGAGGUGGAAUAAGUGGCGCUUGCUGAUGGUGGAGUUGGAGGGACCUUGUCGUGAACACCAGCCAUGGCGAGGAUGCAGGCUGUAACUGCAGGGAUGGCGUACAGUCCAAGCUAGGAAACCCAAAGCAAAGACACAUAACCAGGUUGCCUGACUCCAAUGCUACUGAAUAUAUAAACCAAAAUGACACUGCAUACUAA